This 121-nucleotide small nuclear RNA is filed under the name Dermacentor silvarum. RNAcentral's name for it is "U5 spliceosomal RNA". It matches the Rfam family "U5 spliceosomal RNA". From Rfam's summary of the family: U5 RNA is a component of both types of known spliceosome. The precise function of this molecule is unknown, though it is known that the 5' loop is required for splice site selection and p220 binding, and that both the 3' stem-loop and the Sm site are important for Sm protein binding and cap methylation. Lineage: Eukaryota; Metazoa; Arthropoda; Arachnida; Ixodida; Ixodidae. The record is from RNAcentral.
UUGCUCAGGUCUCUCCUCAAAUCCACGCAUUAAUCUUUCGCCUUUUACUAAAGAUUACCGUGGGGAGGGACACUCCAAUGAGCCUAUAGGCCAAUUUUGGAAGGCCUUGCCCGUUUGGGCG